AAUUAUCUGUCACGAAGAUUUGGCCUGCAAUGUUAAAAAAAUGAAAUACAGUACAAUUAAAUUUAAAUAAAUUUUAAAAAUAACAGGAAUAAAACUGAGAUAAAAUAAAAUGUCGGUACACAUAAAAGAUUUAUCUUGCAAGAAGAAAUCGGGACUGUGCUGGAACGAUAUGGAAGAGCUAAAGUAUCUGAUAUGUACUAUUGACAGUUGCACAAGCCCAAGCAUUCCAUCGCCACCGUCGUGCAGCAUAAUUUUGCCCCCGAGAAUUGAAGAAAUUCCUUGCAAAAGUCCACCUAGGAGGCCACCUUGCAUCCCACCACCUCAAUGUUGUCCGAUAAUACCUGGACCUUGUUGCCCUCAGUUGUCACUUCUGACACCUUACUGCAAUCCUUGCCAUCCUUGCAUUCCAUUACCGUGUUAUUCAAGCAAAUAGAAAGAAACUUAAGCUUAAGAAACUUCAGAAAAUAAAGAAAAUCUUAUGCACUAUUUGUCAUUUUGGGAUAAGCAACGACGAGUAUAAAGAUAAAAAAGGAAACCCUUUCAUGGCUGAAAUAAAGGAAGGAAAUUUAUUAUAAAUCCAUAUAAAACAUUCAUAUUUUGCUUGAUUUUAACGAAAAAUCUGUACGUAUAUGAUCGGCAGAAUCUAAUCAAAAUAUCGGAUAUCUUUUUCUCUUUUCGGAAAAGCGAGAUCAAUGCAACCCCACAACGGUGGUCCACGACAUCAUAUGGUCUGUUUUCUGUUCCUGCACUAGACUGCACUAGAACUUUUUUUCUCGUUUUCGACAAAUAUCAAACAUAUUCCUAUCUCACUUUAAUUUUUAAAAGUGUAGUUUACACUAGUUUAGCAGAAAACAGAUAUAUCUAUAGAAUAAUAUCGAUAGCCGCAUAUUUCACGGGAUUGCACGAUAUGUUCUAAAUAAAAGUGUCACUGCCGUUCUUAUAAACAAUAUCAAUGAUGAAUAAACACCAUUAUGAUACAGACAGAAUCAUAUUCGUAUCUCACGCGCAUCUAUCAUAGCUUAAAUAUCGAUAGCAAAUAACCGAGGCUAUUUUGCCUACGAGAUUACUUUGCUUGGUCGAUUGUGUGUUUAUUUUGUUCCCACCAACACAACAGGAUAUCAUCUAUAUUUCUGUAUCGCUCGAGGAUUCCGACGUUGGCGAACGUAUCUUUAUACUGAUUACAUUUUAGCAUAUGCGCUCUCCUUUAAGUUCAGACAAUUCGCGAUCAAAGAUUUCAAUCAUCACAGAUUUCAGCGAAACUAUUUCUUUUUUUUUUCUUUUUUUUUCAGAAAAGUGCUGUUAUGAAUUCCCAUAUGUCUUGAUUCUUUUGAUCAAAUGAUUUUCAUCUGCUACUGUGUUGUAUCUUUGAUCUAUUAAGGGGGAACACCACUCCAGUCAGAAAUCGAUGUCGGUUCGACGUCGAAAGCAUCAAAUCGACAUCGAUUCGAUGUUGAUCCCAUUAUUAUUUCUAACUGGAAUCUUUGAGACUUAAAAUUAAAUGAUAUCUAAUUUUAGCAAUUUUUUGCAGUAAACUAAAGUCAAUUAAAAAUUGUUUUUAAGGGCUUUACUAUAUGAAUUUUCUUGAGAAUAGACGAGUACAAAAAAUUUGUU
This is a long non-coding RNA of Trachymyrmex septentrionalis, 1611 nucleotides long. RefSeq lists it as uncharacterized. The record is from RefSeq and is a predicted model, not a curated record. NCBI's taxonomy places the organism in Eukaryota, Metazoa, Arthropoda, Insecta, Hymenoptera, Formicidae. The transcript has 3 exons.